This 347-nucleotide signal recognition particle RNA is filed under the name Cebus imitator (Panamanian white-faced capuchin). Its description in RNAcentral is "Metazoan signal recognition particle RNA (ENSCCAG00000005756.1)". It matches the Rfam family "Metazoan signal recognition particle RNA". Rfam says of the family: The signal recognition particle (SRP) is a universally conserved ribonucleoprotein. It is involved in the co-translational targeting of proteins to membranes. The record is from RNAcentral. Lineage: Eukaryota; Metazoa; Chordata; Mammalia; Primates; Cebidae.
GCCUGGUGGGCACAGUGGCAGACGCCUAGAGGCCCAGUUACUUGGGAGGCUGAGGCAGAAGUUUCACUUGAGUCUAGGAAUUCUGGGCUGUAGCGUGCUAUACCAAUCAUGUGUCCAUAAUAAAUUCGGCAUCAAUAUGGUGACCAUGUGGGAGCAGAGGACCACCAGGUUGCCUAAGAAUGGGUGAUGAACUGGCCCAGGUCAGAAAUGAAGCAGGUCAAAACCGCAGUGCUGGGGUAUGGUGGCUCACAUCUGUAAUCCCAGCACUUUAGGAGGCUGAGGCGGGAUGACUGCUUGAGGCCAAGAGUUCUAGACCAGCCUGGGCCACAUACUGAGACUCCAUCUCU